GACGAACGCUGGCGGCGUGCUUAACACAUGCAAGUCGAACGGACAGGUCCUGCUUUUGUUGGGUUCUCGAGUGGCGCACGGGUGUGUAACACGUGAGUAACCUGCCCUUGUCUUUGGGAUAACUUCACGAGACUGCGGCUAAUACCGGAUAUGAUCUCCUGCUGCACGGUGGGGGAUGGAAAGUUUCGGCUGUUGUGGAUGGACUGGAGGCUUAUCAGCUUGUUGGUGGGGUAGUGGCUGACCAAGGUUUUGAGGGGUAGCCGGCGUGUGAGGUGUGCCGGGGACAUUGGGACUGAGGGACGGACCAGUCGCGAACGGGAGGCAGUGGGGGAGAACAUGGCACAGUGGGGGGAAGCCAGAUGCAGAAACGCUGCGUGCGGGAUGACGGCCUUUGGGUGGUAAACAGCUGUCGCCUGAGCCGAAGCGGGAGUGACGGUAAUGGGUAAAGAAGCACCGGCUAACUACGUG
RNAcentral lists this ribosomal RNA (468 nucleotides) under uncultured bacterium. Its description in RNAcentral is "partial 16S ribosomal RNA". It matches the Rfam family "Bacterial small subunit ribosomal RNA", at positions 28 to 507 of the family's 1533-position model. The record is from RNAcentral.